AAAUAAGUCAAACUUAAAAGGUUAAAGGUCAUUAUGUUUUCUUUCCUGUGGAAACUAAAGAGGAAAAUGGAAAAGAAAGAUGGGGAGGGGUAGAUCUAAGGAAAAUCAAAGGGAGAUCAGUAGAGGAAAGGUACUAAGGAAUUGGAGAUAGUGUGUGGGGGGAAGUGCUGGGAAGUGAUACUGGUCAAAUUAUGUUGUUAAAUUGUAUAUUGUGUGCAUGUACAAAUAUAUAAUAGUAAAUCCCAUCAGUAUGAACACCUAUAAUAAAACAAUAAAAAAUGUGGGGAAAGGGGCUAGGGUUGUAGCUCAGUGGUAGAGCAUUCACCUAGUGGGUUUGAUCCUCAGCACCACAUAAACAAAACAAAACAGAUAAAAUAAAGGUUAAAUUCUUAAAAAAAAAAAAAAAAAGAAAGAAAAAAGAAAAAGAAAAAAAAUGUGGGGAAAAGAAAAAAUGCUUACAUCCUUGUUAAAAAACCAAACAAACCAAAUUAGUGUAUAUUCUUUCAGACUCUUUAAUUUGUCUAUUAUUUUUAUACAAAUAAGAUUGUACUUUUCCCUAUAGUCAGGCUUUCACUGAAUAUUCUCAGUCCUGUUAAUUUUUGUUAGUUGGAUGAGUCAGAAAGUGGUAUCUAAUUUUUAUUGUAAAACGACAAAAAGUCCUUUUUUUUUAAAAAAAAAAGAACAAAUAACUUGACAAUUAGGGACAGGAACAUUAUCUUUUCUGUGUAGUUGAUCAUUAUUAUUGCUGAGGUUGAGAAACCCUGUGCUAUAGUUUGGAUCUUAAGUGUCUUCCAGAGGUCCAUGUGUGAAAGCUUGUUCCCUAGAGUGGUGCUAUUGUUGGAGGUCAUUGGGAGCAUGCCCUGGAAGGGGAGAAUGAGACCUUAGCCUCUUCCUGUCUUUUUCACUUCCCAACCAUGAGGUGAGUGCUUUUGCUCCACUAGUGUUUCUGCUAGGAUGUGCUGCCUCAGUACAGGUGCAAAGCAGUGAGGCUAAUU
Molecule: long non-coding RNA, 995 nt
Filed under: Marmota monax (woodchuck)
Lineage: Eukaryota; Metazoa; Chordata; Mammalia; Rodentia; Sciuridae
Source: RNAcentral